Molecule: long non-coding RNA, 1150 nt
Organism: Mauremys reevesii (Reeves's turtle)
Lineage: Eukaryota; Metazoa; Chordata; Testudines; Geoemydidae
Exons: 3
Source: RefSeq, a predicted model, not a curated record
GCAGGCCAGCCCUUGAAAGCUCUUUUGUCUAACAGCAGAUACACAGAUUAGGAAAGAAAAGACAACUCAGCGGUAUAUUUGGCAAACCUGUUUCUAAUGGCUGGCUUCUUGUUUCCAUGAGUCUAGUCACAAAGCUGCUUUCUUAUUCCCACUGCGUGUGUGUAAGGGGAAGCUGUUUCUGAGUUUCCACAUGACGGUUUCCUCUGUGAUCCCUGGGGAGUGUUCUGUUGUGACGAUGGUGUCCCAUGGCAAGCUCUCAGAAUGUGUCCAGAAGCUCAGCAGCAUUACUCUUUAAAGGAACACAAGCCAUUCCUGUGUUUCCAAAGCAGGUGACUGGACCCAGAAAUACCAGCCCUUCUCUGUUACACCUUUGUUACAUAGUAUCAGUAAAAUAAAUCAUUGGUAAAAAUAGGGCUAAUGAGGCCAUACCAUUCUGGAAGGGAAACUAGCAGAAACUUGGAGGAACUGGCUGACAUGCUUCCAAAUUUUCCUGGAAGCUCGUGAUACUGAGAAGUAAGAAGGGUUGAAAUUCAACACUCUGCUACAUGUGGCCAACCCAGAGGGAGUGAACUUCUGUGACACUGUCCAGUGGGGACAUGAAGGGGAUUGCGAACUGCUACAAAAAGUAAUUUAAAAUGUUAAUAAUACUUUGAUGCAUCCAAAAUGUUGCUAGGGAAAGGCACGCUUACUUUAAAAGAAACCAAUUGCCAGGUGAGACCAAUGACCAUUUGUGACAUUAUAUGACUAAAAUAUGACCAUGUAAAUCAUUGUUUCUACCAUUGUUAGACAGUUGCAACAAAACGUGUACAAAGUAUGUCAUGUAAGACGUCAAUGGAAAAGUUAUGAUUUGCUUAAUGUGAUUAUCCUAUUUGUAUGCAUGCAUCAUUUUUGUAUCUGAAGUUAUGAAUACUGACUAUGUACCUGCGUUUCAAAUGUGUUUGCUCCUGUGGUAACAUCCACAAGGCAGUUUACAUCAAAUCUAGCUAGCACAUUGUGUAUGGAGUAUUCGAGUGAUGGCCCAUCAGCGAAUACAAUGGGCCAUGGAAGAAGCCUAUCCACACCUGAUGAACCUUCCUGAGGACCUUCUAGCUAGAAUACAGGUCUGUCGCAUCUUAUGCGCAUUUAAUAAGCGCGAUUUCAGCUUUACACG